GGAUAUUCUGUGGGAAAAACAACUCAAUCAAUCAAUAAUUUAAUAUACAAUCAUAUUGGCUUUUGCUCUCCGGAUUAAUUUUCUUUAGUGUGACAACCCACUGUUUCACAUGCCAACGGAAAAAUUAAACAUUUAAUAUAGACACUAAUUAAGAUUGUUUUUUGGCUUUCGAGUGGUCACUUUUUACCGAAAAGCACCAAAGAUACCGGUCCGAUUGAAUGCCACUUUGAUGGAAGUUUUGAAAAAGCAUUGGACACAUGGCGAAAAAUUUAUGAGUGAAGCGACUCCGAUUUCGUCAAAAGUUUGGAAAAUUGGUCGAAAGGAAUGCUCCAUGACCAGCCGAUUUAUUGGAACCAUUAUAAGACACUUCAAGCAGCUGUAACUGUCUAACUCAGAUGAACCGGUGUGCUGGAGUAGUUUCUUGAAUAUAUGACAAAACAAACAUGGUUUUUCUUAAAAAACAAUGCUUGCAAGGACUUGUAACAUGUACAUAUUAUAUAUGAUAUUUUUCUUGGUUAA
Molecule: long non-coding RNA, 519 nt
Organism: Dendroctonus ponderosae (mountain pine beetle)
Lineage: Eukaryota; Metazoa; Arthropoda; Insecta; Coleoptera; Curculionidae
Exons: 2
Source: RefSeq, a predicted model, not a curated record